This 511-nucleotide ribosomal RNA is filed under the name Papilio syfanius. Its description in RNAcentral is "partial 16S ribosomal RNA". The stretch from base 387 to 511 matches the Rfam family "Bacterial large subunit ribosomal RNA", at positions 2473 to 2598 of the family's 2925-position model. The record is from RNAcentral. Lineage: Eukaryota; Metazoa; Arthropoda; Insecta; Lepidoptera; Papilionidae.
UUUUUGAAAAUAAUUUAAAGUUUAAUCUGCCCACUGAUNAAAUUAUUAAAGGGCUGCAGUAUUUUGACUGUACAAAGGUAGCAUAAUCAUUAGUCUCUUAAUUGGUGACUUGUAUGAAAGAUUGGAUGAAAUAUAUACUGUCUCUAUUUAAUUUAUAAAAUUUAAUUUUUUAGUAAAAAAGCUAAAAUGAAUUUAAAAGACGAGAAGACCCUAUAGAGUUUAAUAAUUUAUUUAAUUAUUAUUAAUGUAUAAAUUUUAAAAUUAAAAUUGAAUAAAUUAUUUUGUUGGGGUGAUAGAAAAAUUAAAUUAACUUUUUUUUUAUUUUAUACAUUAAUUUAUGAAUAAAUGAUCCAUUAAUAAUGAUUAAAAGAAAAAAUUACCUUAGGGAUAACAGCGUAAUUUUUUUUUUUAGUUCAAAUAGGAAAAAAAGUUUGCGACCUCGAUGUUGGAUUAAGAUAAAAAUUAAAUGCAAAAGUUUAAAAUUUUAAUCUGUUCGAUCAUUAAAAUCUUA